UUAGUAACGGCGAGUGAAGCGGCAACAGCCCAGAUUUGAAAUCUGACUUUCGGGUCCGACUUGUAAUCUGCAGAUGAGUCUUUUGGCGGAGCGCCGUCCAAGUUCCCUGGAACGGGACGCCGGAGAGGGUGAGAGCCCCGUACCGACGUGCGCCGAGUCUUUGCAAAGCUCAUUCGAAGAGUCGAGUAGUUUGGAAAUGCUGCUCUAAUUGUGGGGUAAAUCUCCCAUAAGGCUAAAUACUGGCCAGAGACCGAUAGCGCACAAGUAGCGUGAGCGAAAGAUGAAAAGAGCCUUGAACAAGGGCGUCAAAAAGCAUGUGAAAUUGUUAUGGGGGAAGCGCUCAAUGCCAGACGUGGCGACGGUUGGUUACCCGGCGUUCUCGCCGGCGCACUCUGCCGCCGCCAGGCCAGCAUCAGUUCGAUCUGGGGCUUACUACCGCUCGGAACGUGGCUCUUCGGAGUGUUAUAGCCUUGCGGGGACGCCCUGGGCCGGACUGAGGAACGCGCAUCUGCUCGGAUGCUGGCGUAAUGGCUUUUAGCGACCCGUCUUGAAACACGGACCAAGGAGUUGACCUAGUAUGCGAGUGUUUGGGUGUCAAGCCCUCACGCGCAGUGAAAGCGAACGCAGGUGGGAGCCUCGGCGCACCAUCGACCGAUCCUGAAGUUUACGGAUGGAUUUGAGUAGGAGCAUACUGGGUCUGACCCGAAAGAAGGUGAACUAUGCAUGAAUAGGGUGAAGCCAGAGGAAACUCUGGUGGAGGCUCGCAGCGGUUCUGACGUGCAAAUCGAUCGUCAA
RNAcentral lists this ribosomal RNA (795 nucleotides) under Pleurotheciella lunata. RNAcentral describes it as "partial large subunit ribosomal RNA". It matches the Rfam family "Eukaryotic large subunit ribosomal RNA", at positions 80 to 908 of the family's 3401-position model. Lineage: Eukaryota; Fungi; Ascomycota; Sordariomycetes; Pleurotheciales; Pleurotheciaceae. The record is from RNAcentral.